This 71-nucleotide transfer RNA is filed under the name Marmota marmota marmota (Alpine marmot). It matches the Rfam family "tRNA". Rfam says of the family: Transfer RNA (tRNA) molecules are approximately 80 nucleotides in length. Their secondary structure includes four short double-helical elements and three loops (D, anti-codon, and T loops). Lineage: Eukaryota; Metazoa; Chordata; Mammalia; Rodentia; Sciuridae. The record is from Rfam by way of RNAcentral. RNAcentral also lists the same sequence under 1 other name.
UGGGUUGUGGCUCAGUGGUAGAGUACUUGCCUUGCAUGCAUGAGGCCCUGGAUUAAUUGCCAGCAUGCCAA